Molecule: ribosomal RNA, 1533 nt
Filed under: Listeria monocytogenes
Lineage: Bacteria; Bacillati; Bacillota; Bacilli; Caryophanales; Listeriaceae
Description: partial 23S ribosomal RNA
Rfam family: Bacterial large subunit ribosomal RNA
Source: RNAcentral
GGUUAAGUUAGAAAGGGCGCACGGUGGAUGCCUUGGCACUAGGAGCCGAAGAAGGACGGGACUAACACCGAUAUGCUUUGGGGAGCUGUACGUAAGCGUUGAUCCAGAGAUUUCCGAAUGGGGGAACCCACUAUCUUUAGUCGGAUAGUAUCCUUACGUGAAUACAUAGCGUAAGGAAGGCAGACCCAGGGAACUGAAACAUCUAAGUACCUGGAGGAAGAGAAAGAAAAAUCGAUUUCCUGAGUAGCGGCGAGCGAAACGGAAAGAGCCCAAACCAAGAAGCUUGCUUCUUGGGGUUGUAGGACACUCUAUACGGAGUUACAAAAGAAAGUUAUAAAUGAAGCGGUCUGGAAAGGCCCGCCAAAGACGGUAACAGCCCGGUAGUUGAAAUGGCUUUCCCUCCAGAGUGGAUCCUGAGUACGGCGGAACACGUGAAAUUCCGUCGGAAUCCGGGAGGACCAUCUCCCAAGGCUAAAUACUCCCUAGUGACCGAUAGUGAACCAGUACCGUGAGGGAAAGGUGAAAAGCACCCCGGAAGGGGAGUGAAACAGUUCCUGAAACCGUGUGCCUACAAGUAGUUAGAGCCCGUUAAUGGGUGAUAGCGUGCCUUUUGUAGAAUGAACCGGCGAGUUACGAUUUGUUGCAAGGUUAAGCGGAAAAAGCGGAGCCGUAGCGAAAGCGAGUCUGAAUAGGGCGCAUAAGUAACAGGUCGUAGACCCGAAACCAGGUGAUCUACCCAUGUCCAGGAUGAAGGUAAGGUAAUACUUACUGGAGGUCCGAACCCACGCACGUUGAAAAGUGCGGGGAUGAGGUGUGGGUAGCGGAGAAAUUCCAAUCGAACUUGGAGAUAGCUGGUUCUCUCCGAAAUAGCUUUAGGGCUAGCCUCGAGGUAAAGAGUCAUGGAGGUAGAGCACUGUUUGGACUAGGGGCCCUUCUCGGGUUACCGAAUUCAGAUAAACUCCGAAUGCCAUGUACUUAUACUCGGGAGUCAGACUGCGAGUGAUAAGAUCCGUAGUCGAAAGGGAAACAGCCCAGACCACCAGUUAAGGUCCCCAAAUAUAUGUUAAGUGGAAAAGGAUGUGGGGUUGCUUAGACAACCAGGAUGUUGGCUUAGAAGCAGCCACCAUUGAAAGAGUGCGUAAUAGCUCACUGGUCGAGUGACCCCGCGCCGAAAAUGUACCGGGGCUAAACAUAUUACCGAAACUGUGGAUGAACCUCUUCGGAGGUUCGUGGUAGGAGAGCGUUCUAAGGGCGGUGAAGUCAGACCGGAAGGACUGGUGGAGCGCUUAGAAGUGAGAAUGCCGGUAUGAGUAGCGAAAGAAGGGUGAGAAUCCCUUCCACCGAAUAUCUAAGGUUUCCUGAGGAAGGCUCGUCCGCUCAGGGUUAGUCGGGACCUAAGCCGAGGCCGAUAGGCGUAGGCGAUGGACAACAGGUAGAGAUUCCUGUACCAGUGCUAAUUGUUUAACCGAUGGGGUGACACAGAAGGAUAGGGAAUCGCACGAAUGGAAAUGUGCGUCCAAGCAGUGAGUGUGA